AACGUAGGAGGCAAGCGUUAUCCGGAGUUACUGGGCGUAAAGCGCGUGUAGGCGGCUAGGAAGGUCGGAUGUGAAAGCUCCCAGGCUAAACCGGGAGAGGUCAUUCGAAACCACUUGGCUAGUGUGUGGUAGAGGGGUACGGAAUUCCGGGUGUAGUGGUGAAAUGCGCAGAUAUCCGGAGGAACACCAGAGGCGAAGGCGGUACCCUGGACCAUUACAGACGCUGAGACGCGAAAGCAUGGGGAGCGCACGGG
This 254-nucleotide ribosomal RNA is filed under the name uncultured bacterium. Its description in RNAcentral is "partial 16S ribosomal RNA". It matches the Rfam family "Bacterial small subunit ribosomal RNA", at positions 524 to 776 of the family's 1533-position model. The record is from RNAcentral.